Molecule: ribosomal RNA, 460 nt
Filed under: uncultured bacterium
Lineage: Bacteria
Description: partial 16S ribosomal RNA
Rfam family: Bacterial small subunit ribosomal RNA
Source: RNAcentral
CCUACGGGAGUCUGCAGUGAGGAAUAUUGGUCAAUGGACGAGAGUCUGAACCAGCCAAGUAGCGUGAAGGAUGACUGCCCUAUUGGUUGUAAACUUCUUUUAUAUGGGAAUAACAUGUUCCACGUUUGGGAUUUUUUAUGUACCAUAUGAAUAAGUAUCGGCUAACUCCGUUCCAGCAGCCGCGGUAAUACGGAGGAUCCUAGCGUUAUCCGGAUUUAUUUGGUUUAAAGGGAGCGUAGGUUGAUUGUUAAGUCAGUUGUGAAAGUUUGCGUCUCAACCGUAAAAUUGCAGUUGAAACUGGCAGUCUUGAGUACAGUAGAGGUGGGCGGAAUUCGUGGUGUAGCGGUGAAAUGCUUAGAGAUCACGAAGAACUCCGAUUGCGAAGGCAGCUCACUGGACUGCAACUGACACGGAGGCUCGAAAGUGUGGGUAUCAAACAGGAUUAGAGACCCCUGUAGUC